This 822-nucleotide ribosomal RNA is filed under the name Fictibacillus sp. RNAcentral describes it as "bacterial SSU rRNA". It matches the Rfam family "Bacterial small subunit ribosomal RNA", at positions 382 to 1198 of the family's 1533-position model. Lineage: Bacteria; Bacillati; Bacillota; Bacilli; Caryophanales; Fictibacillaceae. The record is from RNAcentral.
UCUGACCGAGCACGCCGCGUGAGCGAUGAAGGCCUUCGGGUCGUAAAGCUCUGUUGUCAGAGAAGAACAAGUACCGGAGUAACUGCCGGUACCUUGACGGUACCUGACCAGAAAGCCACGGCUAACUACGUGCCAGCAGCCGCGGUAAUACGUAGGUGGCAAGCGUUAUCCGGAAUUAUUGGGCGUAAAGCGCGCGCAGGCGGUUCUUUAAGUCUGAUGUGAAAGCCCACGGCUCAACCGUGGAGGGUCAUUGGAAACUGGGGAACUUGAGUGCAGGAGAGAAAAGUGGAAUUCCACGUGUAGCGGUGAAAUGCGUAGAGAUGUGGAGGAACACCAGUGGCGAAGGCGGCUUUUUGGCCUGUAACUGACGCUGAGGCGCGAAAGCGUGGGGAGCAAACAGGAUUAGAUACCCUGGUAGUCCACGCCGUAAACGAUGAGUGCUAGGUGUUGGGGGGUUCCACCCUCAGUGCUGACGUUAACACAUUAAGCACUCCGCCUGGGGAGUACGGCCGCAAGGCUGAAACUCAAAGGAAUUGACGGGGGCCCGCACAAGCAGUGGAGCAUGUGGUUUAAUUCGAAGCAACGCGAAGAACCUUACCAGGUCUUGACAUCCUCUGACCACUUGAGAGAUCAAGCUUUCCCCUUCGGGGGACAGAGUGACAGGUGGUGCAUGGUUGUCGUCAGCUCGUGUCGUGAGAUGUUGGGUUAAGUCCCGCAACGAGCGCAACCCUUGACCUUAGUUGCCAGCAUUAAGUUGGGCACUCUAGGGUGACUGCCGGUGACAAACCGGAGGAAGGUGGGGAUGACGUCAAAUCAUCAUGC